UAGGGGUUAGUCGGUUCCUAAGGCGAGGCUGAAAAGCGUAGUCGAUGGGAAACAGGUUAAUAUUCCUGUACUUCUGGUUACUGCGAUGGAGGGACGGAGAAGGCUAGGCCAGCUUGGCGUUGGUUGUCCAAGUUUAAGGUGGUAGGCUGAAAUCUUAGGUAAAUCCGGGGUUUCAAGGCCGAGAGCUGAUGACGAGUCGUCUUUUAGAUGACGAAGUGGUUGAUGCCAUGCUUCCAAGAAAAGCUUCUAAGCUUCAGGUAACCAGGAACCGUACCCCAAACCGACACAGGUGGUCGGGUAGAGAAUACCAAGGCGCUUGAGAGAACUCGGGUGAAGGAACUAGGCAAAAUGGCACCGUAACUUCGGGAGAAGGUGCGCCGGCUAGGGUGAAGGAUUUACUCCGUAAGCUCUGGCUGGUCGAAGAUACCAGGCCGCUGCGACUGUUUAUUAAAAACACAGCACUCUGCAAACACGAAAGUGGACGUAUAGGGUGUGACGCCUCCCCGGUGCCGGAAGGUUAAUUGAUGGGGUUAGCGCAAGCGAAGCUCUUGAUCGAAGCCCCGGUAAACGGCGGCCGUAACAAUAACGGUCCUAAGGUAGCGAAAUUCCUUGUCGGGUAAGUUCCGACCUGCACGAAUGGCGUAACGAUGGCGGCGCUGUCUCCACCCGAGACUCAGUGAAAUUGAAAUCGCUGUGAAGAUGCAGUGUAUCCGCGGCUAGACGGAAAGACCCCGUGAACCUUUACUGUAGCUUUGCACUGGACUUUGAGCCUGCUUGUGUAGGAUAGGUGGGAGGCUUUGAAGCGUGGACGCCAGUUCGCGUGGAGCCAUCCUUGAAAUACCACCCUGGCAUGCUUGAGGUUCUAACUCUGGUCCGUAAUCCGGAUCGAGGACAGUGUAUGGCGGGCAGUUUGACUGGGGCGGUCUCCUCCUAAAGAGUAACGGAGGAGUACGAAGGUGCGCUCAGACCGGUCGGAAAUCGGUCGCAGAGUAUAAAGGCAAAAGCGCGCUUGACUGCGGGACAGACACGUCGAGCAGGUACGAAAGUAGGUCUUAGUGAUCCGGUGGUUCUGUAUGGAAGGGCCAUCGCUCAACGGAUAAAAGGUACUCCGGGGAUAACAGGCUGAUACCGCCCAAGAGUUCAUAUCGACGGCGGUGUUUGGCACCUCGAUGUCGGCUCAUCACAUCCUGGGGCUGAAGCCGGUCCCAAGGGUAUGGCUGUUCGCCAUUUAAAGUGGUACGCGAGCUGGGUUUAGAACGUCGUGAGACAGUUCGGUCCCUAUCUGCCGUGGACGUUUGAGAUUUGAGAGGGGCUGCUCCUAGUACGAGAGGACCGGAGUGGACGAACCUCUGGUGUUCCGGUUGUCACGCCAGUGGCAUUGCCGGGUAGCUAUGUUCGGAAAAGAUAACCGCUGAAAGCAUCUAAGCGGGAAACUUGCCUCAAGAUGAGAUCUCACUGGGAACUUGAUUCCCCUGAAGGGCCGUCGAAGACUACGACGUUGAUAGGCUGGGUGUGUAAGCGUUGUGAGGCGUUGAGCUAACCAGUACUAAUUGCCCGUGAGGCUUGACC
This 1569-nucleotide ribosomal RNA is filed under the name metagenome. RNAcentral's name for it is "bacterial LSU rRNA". It matches the Rfam family "Bacterial large subunit ribosomal RNA", at positions 1374 to 2925 of the family's 2925-position model. The record is from RNAcentral.